GUAAGUCNGUGGUGAAAUCUCCGNGCUUAACNCGGAAACUGCCAUUGAUACUAUUUGUCUUGAAUANUNUGGAGGUAAGCGGAAUAUGUCAUGUAGCGGUGAAAUGCUUAGAUAUGACAUAGAACACCAAUUGCGAAGGCAGCUUACUACACANNNAUUGACACUGAGGCACGAAAGCGUGGGGAUCAAACAGGAUUAGAUACCCUGGUAGUCCACGCCCUAAACGAUGNAUACUCGACAUUAGCGAUACACNGUUNGUGUCUGAGCGAAAGCAUUAAGUAUNCCACCUGGGAAGUACGAUCGCAAGAUUGAAACUCAAAGGAAUUGACGGA
This 332-nucleotide ribosomal RNA is filed under the name uncultured bacterium. RNAcentral describes it as "partial 16S ribosomal RNA". It matches the Rfam family "Bacterial small subunit ribosomal RNA", at positions 583 to 917 of the family's 1533-position model. The record is from RNAcentral.